This 216-nucleotide ribosomal RNA is filed under the name uncultured bacterium. Its description in RNAcentral is "partial 16S ribosomal RNA". It matches the Rfam family "Bacterial small subunit ribosomal RNA", at positions 1285 to 1500 of the family's 1533-position model. The record is from RNAcentral.
GUCCCAGUUCGGAUUGUAGUCUGCAACCCGACUACAUGAAGCCGGAAUCGCUAGUAAUCGCAGAUCAGCGUGCUGCGGUGAAUACGUUCCCGGGUCUUGUACACACCGCCCGUCACACCAUGGGAGCCGGAAAUGCCCGAAGUCGGUGACCCAACCGGAAGGAGGGAGCCGCCGAAGGCAGGUCUGAUAACUGGGGUGAAGUCGUAACAAGGUACC